CCUACGGGUGGCAGCAGUGGGGAAUAUUGCGCAAUGGGCGAAAGCCUGACGCAGCGACGCCGCGUGAGGGAUGAAGGUCUUCGGAUCGUAAACCUCUGUCAGCAGGGAAGAACGGUCACUGUGCUAAUCAGCAGUGAAUUGACGGUACCUGCAAAGGAAGCACCGGCUAACUCCGUGCCAGCAGCCGCGGUAAUACGGAGGGGGCAAGCGUUAUCCGGAAUUACUGGGUGUAAAGGGGGCGCAGGCGGCAAGGCAAGGCAGGGGUGAAAUCCCGGGGCCCAACGCCGGGACUGCUUUUGGAACUGGAUGGCUGGAGUGCAGGAGGGGCGAGCGGAAUUCCAGGUGUAGCGGUGAAAUGCGUAGAUAUUUGGAGGAACACCAGUGGCGAAGGCGACCUGCUGGCCUGUAACUGACGUUGAGGCGCGAAAGCGUGGGGAGCAAACAGGAUUAGAUACCCGAGUAGUC
Molecule: ribosomal RNA, 465 nt
Filed under: uncultured bacterium
Lineage: Bacteria
Description: partial 16S ribosomal RNA
Rfam family: Bacterial small subunit ribosomal RNA
Source: RNAcentral